CGGAAGGGCGAGUAAUGCCUGGACAACCUGCCCCUUGCUGGGAAUAACACGGAGAAAUCCGUGCUAAUGCCGAAUGCGGCCGCCCGGGGCAUCCCGGGCGCGCCAAAGGCGGGGACCGCAAGGCCUGCCGCAGAGGGAGGGAUCCAGGUACCAUCAGCUGGUUGGCGGGGUAACGGCCCACCAAGGCGACGACGGUUAGCUGGUCUGAGAGGACGACCAGCCGCACUGGGACUGAGAUACUGCCCAGACUCCUACGGGAGGCUGCAGUCGAGGAUCAUUCGCAAUGGGCGCAAGCCUGACGAUGCGACGCUGCGUGGAGGAUUAGGAAGGGCUUCGGCUCGUAAACUCCUGUCAUGAGGGAAAAAGCUCCCCGCAGUCAACAACGGCGGGGGUCGAUGGUACUUCAAGAGGAAGCCACGGCUAACUCUGUGCCAGCCGCAGC
This 442-nucleotide ribosomal RNA is filed under the name uncultured bacterium. Its description in RNAcentral is "bacterial SSU rRNA". It matches the Rfam family "Bacterial small subunit ribosomal RNA", at positions 99 to 518 of the family's 1533-position model. The record is from RNAcentral.